Molecule: transfer RNA, 63 nt
Filed under: Microdiplogynium sp. XFX
Lineage: Eukaryota; Metazoa; Arthropoda; Arachnida; Mesostigmata; Diplogyniidae
Description: tRNA-Ser
Source: RNAcentral
GAUUAUUUAACUAUUUAAGUAUAUAUUUUGAAAAUAUAAAAAAGGAAGUAUUCCUAAUAAUCU